GAUGAACGCUGGCGGCGUGCCUAAUACAUGCAAGUCGAGCGAACAGACGCGGAGCUUGCUCCUCUGACGUUAGCGGCGGAAGGGUGAGUAACACGUAGGUCACCUACCUAUAAGACUGGGAUAACUUCGGGAAACCGGAGCUAAUACCGGAUAAUAUUUCGAACCGCAUGGUUCGAUAGUGAAAGAUGGCUUUGCUAUCACUUAUAGAUGGACCUGCGCCGUAUUAGCUAGUUGGUAAGGUAACGGCUUACCAAGGCAACGAUACGUAGCCGACCUGAGAGGGUGAUCGGCCACACUGGAACUGAGACACGGCCCAGACUCCUACGGGAGGCAGCAGUAGGGAAUCUUCCGCAAUGGGCGAAAGCCUGACGGAGCAACGCCGCGUGAGUGAUGAAGGUCUUCGGAUCGUAAAACUCUGUUAUUAGGGAAGAACAAACGUGUAAGUAACUGGGCACGUCUUGACGGUACCUAAUCAGAAAGCCACGGCUAACUACGUG
This 497-nucleotide ribosomal RNA is filed under the name uncultured bacterium. RNAcentral describes it as "partial 16S ribosomal RNA". It matches the Rfam family "Bacterial small subunit ribosomal RNA", at positions 28 to 507 of the family's 1533-position model. The record is from RNAcentral.